RNAcentral lists this long non-coding RNA (3925 nucleotides) under Homo sapiens (human). RNAcentral describes it as "HSALNT0175530". Lineage: Eukaryota; Metazoa; Chordata; Mammalia; Primates; Hominidae. The record is from RNAcentral.
GUUUCUGGUUCCCAGCUUUGAAUUAUGGCUUAAGGAUGGUGGGUAAUUUAAUUAAACAUUGCAAGGGCUUAGCUGAGGUUGCCUGGGAGCCACUGGUUUAAAGUUCCUACCCUGUCAUGGCCUCAUCAAUGAGAUUGAGAGGAACUAUGAGUGUGUUGGUGGAGAAGGGAGAGGAGGGGGCUCAGAGCUAAGAAACCCAGAGAUUCUUCUAUUCUUCUUUGACAAGCGCCCUGACAGACCCAGCUUUUCUGGGAAUUCAGCCCAGUGUCCGCAGCACCCAGCACAGGGCCUGGCGCACAGCAGAGAGGUAUUCAGGAUGGCUGACUGACUCUAGCAAUGAGCGGAUGAAACCACAGCAGUCUGAUGAUAAACACACCCUGAGGCAGCCUUUAAAAUGAUUCAGGGCAAGUUCUCUGCCUGAGGUUUAAAGUCCAGGGAGCGCCAGCCUCUGACUAAAUUGCUCACCACCAGGCAGUCCUCAGCACACCGGCCUCUCCAGGCUCCUCGGUUGCACUCUUGGGAAAGCCGAGCCAGAAUUCCAGAAACAAUGGCCCCCUCCCCACCUGUCACUGACGGAGGCAGAAACUCUUCCCGGGUCAUCGAUUAAGCAAGGACCGAGCAAAGAGAGGCAGUUUUGCUCUCCCUUGGGCAGCACCCCCACUCCCCACCCCCCAAGGCCCCAUCCUGGAGGCUCCCUUCCUGGCUCUGACCUGGAAAGGCAGGUCAGCUGGGAAGCGGGUUUGUGCUGGCUACAGUGACAACUUGAUUCUCAUGAAAAGAUAGGAGUUUGGCGCUCCAGGAGACCAUGGGUUCCUUACAGGCUAUGGUUUCAAGAGGAAGCCUGGGGACAGUUUCUCCUUAGGAAUCUGCGUCCUCCUCCUCCGCAGACAAAGGGAGCGGCUUCCCUGCCAUGCAUUCCGAAGCCCCGAGCCUCCCCCUCCUCUCUCCAUCUGCUCCGGCCUGUUGCUUCCGCGCAUGUAGUGUGUAGCAGAGGCAUUCGCCAAUGCCGCGGCGUCCAGGGUACCCCAGCCCUAGUCUCUCCUCCCAGGGAGCCCGGCGCUUCCCUUACCCGACUGUAGCGAGAACCUCCGGGGAAUCCCUUCUUCCUCCCCCAGUUCCCACACCCAGGACCCAGCUGCGGGGAGGCAUCCCACACAGGAGACGCAGAGGCAGUGAGAUCGGGGGUGAGGGGACGUGUGGCAAGCCCCAGCGUGCCUGAAGCAAAACAGGGUCAGGUCAGCCAAGGUGCCGGCCGCCACGGGAUGAGGGCAGGAAGCCUUUGCGAAGGGCUGGGAUUGCCUGUAGUCUGGGGCGGCCCUAGAAUUUCUACAUAGAAAGACUUAGGGCCACCAACUGCUGAAAAGCGGGGGCAUGAAAGGGGUGGGGAGUGGAUUGUUACCGACUAGGUUGAAGCUGGGUUUGCAAAACCACAACACUGAUACUAUUUGCAUGGAUGUUUAAGGGGGAGGGAGGAUCCUGCGAGGAUUCAGCGGAGUGAAUCGCCUCCCACCACCACCUCUUGGUGACACUGCUGCACAGAAGUGCCGACUAGGUGGCCAAGCAUGAUCAGUGUCCGCAGCGCGAACUGGAGACACGCAUUGUCUCGGGGCUUGCGCACGCACUGGCACACUCACAGUCGCACACACACGCGCGCGCACCCCAACUCCUUCCUUGCCCCGGCUCCUAUUACCUCAUCCUCUCCCGCAUCCUUAGCUGUCCGUCAAGGAAGCAGAAGACACGCCCCCUGCUGCUCGGGCGAGUGCCCUGGAGCUUACCCGCCCCCUGCUGGCCUAAAGUGUCGUGUGCCGGCCAGUGGCCACUCCAACCUCUGCUAAUGAGACCCAGUCCAAAGGGAUGCAGCAAUUUCGCUAAUGAUGGAUUUAUAUUACCUACGUAGAGAGCAAAUGUGGUUUUUCUGGCCAGAUUCAACGUACUAGAGUCAGGAAGACGCAUGUUAGAUUAAUUUUAUCUGCAUCGUUUCUGUAACUAAAAUUAUGAAACACUAGGAAAAACACGAGUUAGACUUAUUUUGAUCAUCAAUAGUUAAUAUGGAAAAUAACCUUAAAUAGGUAGGUUCUGACUAAAAGGGAAGACUGAAGUCAGGAUUAUGCAUUAUCCUUGUCAAAGAACACAAAUUUUGUUUUGUUGAGAUUGCAAACCACAUAAAACAACGAAUCGAGUCUUAUCAAGAUCCAAGUUAUAGGAUGCGGGAAAGUAAAAAUAGAUUAUGUGUUAGAGAAUGGGAUUGUGAAUCUUUUUGAAAUAAUCAAUUUUUUCAUAAAUAUCAUAUGACCCUUUUAUGUUUUAGAAGAGUUGCUUCCCCCUCCCUCUCCUUGCAGCUGUCAUUUCUCCCAUUGUUAGAAUUUUGCAUCCUUCUACCUUUAUCUUUCUCCCAACAGAGUUCUAAAUACAAAGCAAAAGAAAAAGUGUGAGAUCUGUUCUUCUUCAGGCCCCUAAAGGCACCAGGCUCAAGGAACCUCUGAGCUUUGUUCUUUCUGGUCUUCUUGCACAGCUUGGCCUCCAAAAUGCCUAGUCGGCCUCUCCCUUAUUUGGGGACUGUUCCUAAUCCAACCUAAACAAUACCACUCAUUAAAAUGUCGAGUUUCAGAAUUAGAAGAACAAAAAGAAAACAAGGAUACCUCGACUAAUUAUAUCAUAGGCCAUUAUUAUUACCAUUUUACAAAUGACAGGACUUAAGGAAUUUAAACUAUUUGCCCUAGAUUACAUAGCUAGUUAGAGGGGAAACCAGUAUUCAAAAUUUAGUUGGGCUGUCUCAAAAGAAAAUGCCUGUUCCAUAGCAUGUCCUAUACAACACAGAGGUGGCACAAUAACAGGCAAUGUAGAAGUGUCUCAGUGUGAAAGAAGGGAAGGGAGAAAAUGGGGGUAGAAUUUUCUGGAAAAGAAACAGAAGGCAAACUGAAGAAAAAGUAAUUUAAAAAUUUAUUGGGCUACUUUUAUUUCUAGUCAUAAAAAUGGAAAGUAUCAAAACUCAGGAAACUUUCUUAUAGUCUUGGUAAGUAUGAAUCAAAAAGUGAAGAGUAAUGAUUCAAGGGGAUAUUGGAAGUACCAGCGAAAAUAUAGCACCUGACCAGCUAAGCCAGAAAUUCCAAGGUGAAAAAAAUCUAAACUAGAUAAGCAGGCUACCAGCAAAUGUUAGAUGAGCUGUUUGAAAGGCGAAUGGAAGGCAGAAGGAAACUGACGCCUACCUGCCUAUGUCCAGCCUAGUUUUGUAUCUGGUCUUCUUGUAUCUUCCAUGUUAAACACAACAGAGUAUUACAGCAGAAUAAAAAUAUCUUAUGACAUGUGAGAAGGUUUGUAUGUAGUCUGAUUCAUUUGCAAGAGGAAGUGAAUACACACACACACAUACACACAUAUACACACAAAUGAGAGGGGUCUUUAAAAUUUUAUGGAAAAUGCAUAUUAUGAAAAAACUAGGCUGGUAGUUCAAAUUGUUUUUUUGCACCCAAAUAAACUCAUACUAACUUGUUAUAACAUGUCUGAACAGGAUCUAGUUUGAGACACUAAGAAGGGUAAGACAAUGCCCUUACUGAAGAGGAUCAAGGAUUAGCAGUCAAAACAAUAGCCUACACCAUAGAUAUGUCAACUGGUUCAGCUUACACAAUUCUGACAAAGAAAUUAAACUUUCCAUUCCUUGAUAGGUGCCAAAACCAUUGCACCCAGGUUGGCCACAGACAAGAGCAGGCCUUUCAAUAGAGAUUUUAAAUGGGUGGGAUCAGGAUCAUGAAACAUUUCUUUGAAGAAUUGUAACAGGAGAUGAAACAUUACCAGUAUAAUCCUGAUGACAAGGAACAACCAAAGCAAUGGCUAUCAAGAGGUAGAAGUGGUCCAGUCAAAGCAAAAGUGCACUGGUCAAAAGCAGAGACCAUGGCAACAAUUUUUUGGAGAUGCUCAAGGCAUUUUACUU